RNAcentral lists this small RNA (371 nucleotides) under Histoplasma capsulatum. RNAcentral's name for it is "hypothetical RNA". The record is from RNAcentral. Lineage: Eukaryota; Fungi; Ascomycota; Eurotiomycetes; Onygenales; Ajellomycetaceae. RNAcentral also lists the same sequence under 1 other name.
GCCCGGGCUCAAUAACAACCUCCUUAUUUACCUGAAUCUUAGGGCGGCUUACUCAUAGAUACUAUUUCUUUGCUUUUCUUUACUUGUUUCUUUAACUUUUGAGGUGACAAUGAGCGUUAGCCCCCGAUAUAAGGCCAAAACGCGCUAAUGAAACUUAUACGAAACAGCUUAAGCUCGCAUGCUUCAAGCGGCAAAGAGCGAGUUUGAUAUGUGGAUUUUUGUUAAAGGCUUCUCCAUAUUAAUCCCAUUUAAAAGAGAUGAUGACCUUUGGAAGGGAACAAAUCGCGUCUAUGAAUGACGGACUCUGCAUCAGCGCCGCCCAUUCUUGAUUGAGUGCGGUGGAAAGAGAAAAAUGAAGCGCAACUCUUGCA